UACGUAGGGUGCAAGCGUUAAUCGGAAUUACUGGGCGUAAAGCGUGCGCAGGCGGUUUUGUAAGUCUGUCGUGAAAGCCCUGGGCUCAACUCAGGAAGUGCACUCGAAACUGACAGGCUUGAAUAUGGAAGAGGGUCGCGGAAUUCCCGGUGUAGAGGUGAAAUUCGUAGAUAUCGGGAGGAACACCAGUGGCGAAGGCGGCGACCUGGGCCAAUAUUGACGCUGAGGUGCGAAAGCGUGGGGAGCAAACAGG
RNAcentral lists this ribosomal RNA (253 nucleotides) under uncultured bacterium. RNAcentral's name for it is "partial 16S ribosomal RNA". It matches the Rfam family "Bacterial small subunit ribosomal RNA", at positions 524 to 776 of the family's 1533-position model. The record is from RNAcentral.